GACGAACGCUGGCGGCGUGCUUAACACAUGCAAGUCGAACGGUGAAGCCCUUCGGGGUGGAUCAGUGGCGAACGGGUGAGUAACACGUGAGCAACCUGCCCCUGGCUCUGGGACAACCACUGGAAACGGUGGCUAAUACCGGAUACGACCCGCCUCGGCAUCGCGGGUUGGUGGAAAGGUUUUCGGCGGUGGAUGGGCUCGCGGCUUAUCAGCUUGUUGGUGAGGUGAAGGCUCACAAAGGCGACGACGGGUAGCCGGCCUGAGAGGGCGACCGGCCACACUGGGACUGAGACACGGCCCAGACUCCUACGGGAGGCAGCAGUGGGGAAUAUUGCACAAUGGGCGAAAGCCUGAUGCAGCGACGCCGCGUGAGGGAUGACGGCCUUCGGGUUGUAAACCUCUUUCAGCUCCGAAGAAGCGAAAGUGACGGUAGGAGCAGAAGAAGCACCGGCUAACUACGUG
This 462-nucleotide ribosomal RNA is filed under the name uncultured bacterium. RNAcentral's name for it is "partial 16S ribosomal RNA". It matches the Rfam family "Bacterial small subunit ribosomal RNA", at positions 28 to 507 of the family's 1533-position model. The record is from RNAcentral.